RNAcentral lists this long non-coding RNA (461 nucleotides) under Carica papaya (papaya). RNAcentral's name for it is "long non-coding RNA (CPAP_LNC003734)". The record is from RNAcentral. Lineage: Eukaryota; Viridiplantae; Streptophyta; Magnoliopsida; Brassicales; Caricaceae.
AAGAUGAGCAAACGAGGGAAACAACAACCAGAUCAACACUGUUGUUGGGAGUAAGAGGUAAGAUCAUUUCAUCCCUUUUUUAUUCGAAUUUGAGUUUAAAGUGCAUGUUGAUUCUUUUAAACUGCAUGAGGAAGAUUUAGAAUGGAAAUCUGGAAAACAGAGUAAGGUAUAGCAUCAUAUGAAUUUACAAAUGGGCGUACAUAUAUGUGUAUCUUCUUAUCUUUAAAAUAAAUGUUAACUAUGGGCGUGUUAGUGUUUGAAUAAGAGGAAUCAGAUGUGUUGGUGGUUCGAGCAUUCCGUGCAUAAAUCUGGUGAGAUAUGGCUAAGAUAAUGAGGUGAGUUUCAUCAAGUAAUGGUUCAGGAAAGGAAAAAAAAAGAAGAGGAAAAGAAAAAUACGGAAGUACAUAGGAGUCGUUGAGGAAAAGAUAGAUAGUGACCAAGAGUGGGAGAAGGGAUUCCGG